CUUCUUUGCUGGCGACCGGCGCACGGGUGAGUAACACGUAUCAACCUGCCCUUUACUCGGGAUAGCCUUUCGAAAGAAAGAUUAAUACCCGAUAGCAUAAUGAUUCCGCAUGGUUUCAUUAUUAAAGGAUUCCGGUAAAGGAUGGGGAUGCGUUCCAUUAGGUUGUUGGUGAGGUAACGGCCCACCAAGCCUUCGAUGGAUAGGGGUUCUGAGAGGAAGGUCCCCCACAUUGGAACUGAGACACGGUCCAA
Molecule: ribosomal RNA, 251 nt
Filed under: uncultured bacterium
Lineage: Bacteria
Description: partial 16S ribosomal RNA
Rfam family: Bacterial small subunit ribosomal RNA
Source: RNAcentral